AAAAAAAAGAAAGAUGAUGAGAUAAAGCAACAUGGUUCCUCAAACUAUCAUCUCCCAAAUCAUUAAGGUGUGGCAGCAGAACAUGAGCAAGUUUGGCUUCCAUUUCUCCUCUAGGCGUGGCAGCAAGAGCUCUGUUUCAGCUUGGCUUCUACAACUUCUCCACCUUUCCUAAGGAAUGGGACUUCUUGAUGCUUUCUUUCUUCCUUCUCAUUAGUAGCCUCCGAAAAAAACCAACCCCUCCUUGUUUUUUACCAGGUACAAUAGCAAGAGCUCCGACAGCAAUAUUACCAGACUUUUGCUUUGAAUCAAAUUUUGCUUCUGAAGUAGGUACCAAGAAACUAUGAGUACUCAAAGCAUUACCAUUAUUAGAAUGGUUUUUCGCUUCUGUGGUGGGAGAUCUGAGAAUAAUUGCCUUAGUUUUAUCUUCAGCCAGCAUUUGAUCACGCAAUGAGAAUCGCCUAUUCAAGUUCUUAUUAAUGGUGGCAGUUGUGGUGGAACCAUUGGUAUUGAAUACUUUGUCAAACAAAGCUGCUUCCCUUGGUGUAGCCAGUGCCUUUAGUUGUUUUCCAAGGUUAAGGAUGGUCUCUUGGCAUUCAGCCAACUUUAAAGAAGCUGCAGUGAUCUCCGAUCCAUUUUGGUUUUGCGCUUCAUCUUCAUUUAUGCUGUAGUUCAGAGAUUCCUUCUUUGCAACACUUUCUAGCUGGAGUUGAAGCUCUAGGCAAGUAGCUUCUAGUUCUUCACAACAGUUGCUUUUUUCUUCCAGUUCAACUUCCAAAGAUGUGAACUUCUGUAAGACCUCAUUCAAUUUUGCUUUGGCAACUGUAAGUUGAGUAUCAAAAUCUUCAUUGAUUGUCUUCUGAUUUUCCAUCUGCUCUUCAAUCAUUCCUUUGGAUUCUCGCGUAGCUUCCAGCUCCAUUUGUAGACUUUCAAUGCUUUGUUCUGAUUUCUGAAGUUGCAUCAUUAAAGUUUCAUUCUUUUCAGCAGCAGAAUGAAGCUUGGUCUCCAUUUCUUUUUUCCCAGAUUCCAUAUUCUUCAGCUCAUCUCUUAAUUUUCUGAUCUCUUCUUGCAGAUUACACUGUCCAGAAUUCAUUUGAAUUGAAUUGUAUUGCUCAUGUAAAGAAGCAACCGAUGGCAAACUUGGUGGUUUCUCGUUGAAAAUACAAAUGGCAUUUGAAUCCAUCAGUGGAAAAUCCACAGCAACUCCAACUUCAUUGUCACUUUGCGAUUCACUCCUACUGAAAUGCUUUUUGAUCUUAUCUCUUGUUCCUGAAGCAUCUUUAGGUGUAACACAGUUGUUCACAAUCCAGUCUAAAGUAAACAACAAUUCUUCAGCAAAACUUUCAAGACCAGCUUUUCCAUUCAACAAAGAGUUACAAGUAAGAAUAAACCGCUGCAGAACAGAGCUUAGUUCAGAACUCCUCCACUGAAAAACAUGAACAAAAUAGUCUGCAGACACUGAGUGUGAGGAACUUCCUUCCCUCCUUGACACAUUAUCUGUUGCACCAUUGCAGAGUAGAGGUCUUGGGUUGAUUCCUUCGAUCAGCUGAAUGAUCUUGCCAAUUGACUUGCUCAGAUUCAAUUGGCUACCUUUUUUGCUUGUUUCCCUAGCAGAGGUUUCAGCAUUGGAAGCUUCAUUCAAUGGAUGAAUGAAUGAAGAUAUGUUUGGAGACUUCCAAGCAAUGCAACUUCUAUUGUUGGAUUCCACCGAAUGCUUUGACAUUGUUGUUGUUUCUGCUUCAAAGACACUUGGAUGAUUUAUAUAACCCAGAGCUAUUUUGAUGUCAUCAAGAAGUUCAGUUAGACUUUGUUUUGAAAUACGCUGUUGUUUAAAGAUUGCAUUCAAUACCUCUUGAAGCCAAUCAAAGGAUUUAUCAGUGGAAACAUCUCUUGAAUGCACCUCCCUUUUGUCAUUACAGCCAGAAUGACCUUGCACUACUGGAACUAGUUCCUUACCAGCUGAGAGAGAGUGAUUACUGCCUCUGGAAGGUGUUUUUGCAGAAACUACAGCUAAUUUCUCCAUCUCAACAAAAUCAUCCAUUAAACUAAUGUCUGAAACUUCAAAGGCUUUACGAUCUGAUGGACUCUUGUGUUUUGCAUCUCUGAAAUGUUCCAGUUCUGACAUUAGAGCAUUAGCCCAUGAUCCAGAAGAGCUAAGUCCAUCGUCACUGCCAAAAUCAAAACCUGCAAUUGGAUAGAGUUCACUUGAUACUGGACUGCACUUUGCCAAAUCCAUAUGUUUCUGACUGCCAGAAAGCUCUAUAAGCUGAGUCUCAACCUGUGACAACUUGGAAGCUGUUUGUGAAUACCUGAUCCUUGAAGAUCGGAGUUCAGUAUUCUUCUUGGUCAGUAUUUCCUUGAGAGUUCUAUUUUCUUCUUCCAUACCCCGUAGUUGUUCAAUCAGGAAAUUGAUAUUCUUAACAGGAAUUUCAGAAGAUUUUUCCCCAGUGGUGUCCCUGAGAACCAAAUCUCUUGUAGGAUUUGGCUUUCUCCUCAACUCUAUCGGAUCCUUUCCUAGCAUCUCAACUUCAUUCUUCAUCCUCGUCAAAGUAGCAGGACCUGGAAGUUUUUUACGCAUUAGUAUUCGGAGUCUCUGGCAUUCUGCUUCUAAAUUUGAGAUUUUCUUAACACUUUCCAAGUGUUGCCUGUGUGAUGCUUCAGCAGAGCGACGUGUGUAUUCCAAUUCCUCGUUGCGAACCUCAAGCUCCUUCUCAAGCAUGUGAAACUCAUACUUCAGAAAAGUAUUCUCUUUUUCUGUGGUAUCUAAUCUAGCCAUUAAUGCAUCGAAUUCUGCUGCUGUCUGAGAAGCACGUUUAUGCAGUUCUUCCACCAAUUUCUCUUUGAGUACAAUAGCCUUACUCAAAUUUGUGUUCUCAACAGCUAUAUUGGCAAGCUUUUGGCUUGUCUCUCUCAACUUAUCUUCUAAUUUUUCCUGUGCCUUCUCAAAUUCACUUUUUGCUUUUAUGACAGCAUCUUGUAUCUUUUGCUCCUGUUCCUCUUGCAAAGAACUCAGUUGCUGCAUGCAUUCCUUCAGUGCAGCAUCUGAAUUAGCUAAUUUUUCAUUUGCAGCUAAUCUUUCCUUUAAAGCUUCAUCUAGAUCUUUUCUCAGGCACACUACUUCUGCCUCCUCCUGGCCUGCAACGUCUUCUUGCAACAGCUUUUCUUGUUUGAUAACAAGAUCAUCUUUGGCAGAAGAAUCAAGAAGCACUGAAGCCAACUUCUCAUUCAAAUUUCUUACAGGUCUACCUGAUCCUACUUCAUUCCCCAUUUGAAGCUCUUCAUCAAUUCCUUUAACAGAAAUGCCAAACUUGUUUGUUGCAACGAUUGUCUUUUGUGAAGAUUUUUUCCUCCAAAGCCAAGACCUGUUGUCCAUGGUUUCACUCCUCUACUUCAUGGCCUAUCUAGCUAGCUUAGCAAGAACUUGCCCUCAUCAACAGUAGCCAAACAGAGCAUCCACCAUUUUUUCCCUCAUCAUCAAGCACCUGAAAUGAAGAUAGAGAAAUACAGGGAGAGAGAAAGUAAAAAUGAAGCAGAAGAAGCUAAUCCUUAAUGGGUCUAAGGACACAGGACUAAGAAAGUAAGAAGAGUGUCCAAACAGAGACCAUGUUAAGGACAGAAGUCUUUGCAUAGGAUGCUAUGCUACUCCUCCACCGACAACAACCUCAGAACAUUAAUUAUAUGAGAGAGAAACAAAAACCCAUCAAGAAUUUCAUGGAAAAGAAAAAUAUUUUACUGUGAAAAUGGCCAAUGGAAAAAGAGAAAGUACUGAUGGGACUGCGGC
RNAcentral lists this unclassified non-coding RNA (3778 nucleotides) under Hevea brasiliensis (rubber tree). Lineage: Eukaryota; Viridiplantae; Streptophyta; Magnoliopsida; Malpighiales; Euphorbiaceae. The record is from RNAcentral.